GACGAACGCUGGCGGCGUGCUUAACACAUGCAAGUCGAACGGAAAGGCCCUGCUUUUGUGGGGUGCUCGAGUGGCGAACGGGUGAGUAACACGUGAGUAACCUGCCCUUGACUUUGGGAUAACUUCAGGAAACUGGGGCUAAUACCGGAUAGGAGCUCCUGCUGCAUGGUGGGGGUUGGAAAGUUUCGGCGGUUGGGGAUGGACUCGCGGCUUAUCAGCUUGUUGGUGGGGUAGUGGCUUACCAAGGCUUUGACGGGUAGCCGGCCUGAGAGGGUGACCGGCCACAUUGGGACUGGGAUACGGCCCAGACUCAUACGGGAGGCAGCAGUGGGGAAUAUUGCACAAUGGGCGGAAGCCUGAUGCAGCAACGCCGCGUGCGGGAUGACGGCCUUCGGGCUGUAAACCGCUUUCGCCUGUGACGAAGCGUGAGUGACGGUAAUGGGUAAAGAAGCACCGGCUAACUACGU
RNAcentral lists this ribosomal RNA (467 nucleotides) under uncultured bacterium. RNAcentral describes it as "partial 16S ribosomal RNA". It matches the Rfam family "Bacterial small subunit ribosomal RNA", at positions 28 to 506 of the family's 1533-position model. The record is from RNAcentral.